Drosophila sechellia is the source of this 518-nucleotide long non-coding RNA. RefSeq lists it as uncharacterized. Lineage: Eukaryota; Metazoa; Arthropoda; Insecta; Diptera; Drosophilidae. The record is from RefSeq and is a predicted model, not a curated record. The transcript is spliced from 2 exons.
UGGCUAUCCACCAAGUUGGACGGGUUCUCGAGUCAAUCCAAAAUGCAUCGUUAGCUCCAGCUGGACAUGGCAUCGUUGGCUAAUGAUGAUUGAAUCGAUGGCCCGGCAACAACGGGCGCUGCAUGCAACAUGUUGCCGAGAAACGCCAUUUACAUAUUUUCCAAAUGGCAAUCGGAAGUUCGUAUUUUCGCAUUUUCCACGCUUAGCCAAAUGGAAAAUGCAAUAAAUCAAAUGCACCAACGGCGGCAACAACAACGCUUCAGUGAAUUUCUUGCUUCGAGUUGGCAGCGCAAAAUAAGAGUUGCCACGUUUAUAUACAUAUCUUGGCAACAAUAUGGCCAAAAGCCGAGGCCACAAUGGCGAUAACGAAGCUAAAAAUACCCUUGAUUGCAGGAUAUUUCCACGAAGCCCUUGGCGAUAUAAGAAUUUCUCAUAAGUGAACUUGUUACAUUCUAAUUGGGCACAUUUGCUUCAAAUUAGUUAUUCCAUAAAAGUCUCUUUUGAAUGUACAACAAUAA